Molecule: ribosomal RNA, 500 nt
Filed under: uncultured bacterium
Lineage: Bacteria
Description: partial 16S ribosomal RNA
Rfam family: Bacterial small subunit ribosomal RNA
Source: RNAcentral
AUUGAACGCUGGCGGAAUGCUUUACACAUGCGAGUCGAACGGCAGCACGGACUUCGGUCUGGUGGCGAGUGGCGAACGGGUGAGUAAUGUAUCGGAACGUGCCCAGGCGUGGGGGAUAACGUAGUGAAAAUUACGCUAAUACCGCAUACGAUCUAUGGAUGAAAGCGGGGGAUAGCAAGACCUCGCCCGAUUGGAGCGGCCGAUAUAAGAUUAGGUAGUUGGUGGGGUAAAGGCCCACCAAGCCAACGAUCUGUAGCUGGUCUGAGAGGACGACCAGCCACACUGGAACUGAGACACGGUCCAGACUCCUACGGGAGGCAGCAGUGGGGAAUUUUGGACAAUGGGCGAAAGCCUGAUCCAGCCAUUCCGCGUGCAGGAUGAAGGCCCUCGGGUUGUAAACUGCUUUUGUACAGAACGAAAAGGUUUCUACUAAUACUAGGAGCUCAUGACGGUACUGUAAGAAUAAGCACCGGCUAACUACGUGCCAGCCGCCGCAGUAA